Long non-coding RNA from Pongo pygmaeus (Bornean orangutan), 7149 nucleotides. RefSeq lists it as uncharacterized. The record is from RefSeq and is a predicted model, not a curated record. The transcript has 3 exons. NCBI's taxonomy places the organism in Eukaryota, Metazoa, Chordata, Mammalia, Primates, Hominidae.
GUCUAGGGGCCAGUUUCCGGCUGCGCCAUUGCUGUGUGGGUCUUGGGACCUCGAGUUGGUGGGGGCGGGGGUAGGGCAGCGCUGAGAUUUCCGGGGAGCGGCAGGUGAGGCCGCGCGGGGCGGGUGACGGCACCCGGGCGGGCUCCUUUCCAGGCUGGAGCCCGAGACUGCCACGUCCUGCGGGGACCAAGUGGUGGGCGAGGAGGCGUGGAGCGGCUUCAGGACUCGAGGAGCGGUUCUGAAGCAGUUAGGGACUUUUGCUUUUGCCCCCCGAGGUCGAUUGGAAGACAACCCCCAUCCCCUGCUGUAGCCGGACAGUUGGAGGGUCAUGGGUGGGUGAGGUGUUUGGCUGAGGGAAACUCAGACCAAAGAGCAGCGGCAAGAAAGCAGUUGGGUCCCCACAAACCGUCCGAAGUCAAGGUGAGAGUCACACAACGACCCUUGACGAUUCCGGCGAGUUCAUCGUGGUUCACAUCCCACUCCAUGCCUCUCUCUUCUGCCUGGACAAUAGUUACAUCCUUAUGAAAAGGAGGCAAGCUGCUGGGCCUUGGUGGAUCCACUCAACCUUGUUACCAAGGGACAUGCCGCCAUGCUAUGUGAAAAGGGGGGUUUUGUUGUUUGUUUUUAAUUUAAGUAUCUAAUUCGUUUCACGAAAGAAUGAUCAAUACCGGCCCACAGUAAACUUGAUAAGUAAUUAAACUGUCAGGGCAUAGAGUUCCCAUAGAGGUGCUUGUUCUUUCAAUACACAAAUAAAGGGAUGCAAAAGUCAACAUGCAGAAAGGGUGAGUUAAUAUUGUCUUCUAAUCUACAGGAACUGAAAGAUUAGCUAAUCUGGUUUGGUUGGUGACCAAAUUUUGUGAUUGCUUGCACACUGUUUGACUACCUCUGACAAAUGUUGCAAGACCUCUUCACUGUUUGAUUCUCCAAAGACUAUAGAAUGUUCUCUUUCAGGAGCAAGCUGGGACAUGUUUAACUAGUUUAGGUAAAACAACAAUAACUGUUAUUUACCAGGGAACAGGCUUUUGGCGGAUAAUCUAACGAUCUACGAUACUGUCCGUUGGGCAUAUGUUAAUGUUUGUAAUGUUGUAUUACCAGCAGUUGUUUUCUUACUCCUUUUUAUUUGAAAACCUGGAUGAUAAUUUCAAAGCCUAUGCUGCUUAAGCCUAGCCUGUACCUUAGUAGCCAGAAAAAGUAGACUCAGUCACUGGAUUGUGUGCACUGAAUACUUACUUGAGAUAACUGAUUUUUCUAAAACUUCCCCAAGUCGUGAAUCCAAGAUGUGGGCAGAAUGUAUUAUUUUAACAUCCUUCGUUCCAGAGGCCAGUGCGUGUUUUAUUUUAACCAUGAUAGAUGGUUUUCCCAGUUACUGCCUCCGGAUAGUUGCAGUGCUGCAUUCCUAGUUAAAAGCCCAGAAGUCUUGGCAGGAAGAAAGGGCAUAUAAGGAGAAAGCCUUUGUAGCUCUUUAGCUGUAAUCUAGACCGGGGUCCCCAACGACGAACUGGUACCUGGUUUGCCUGUUAGGAACGGGGCCGCACAGCAGGAGGUGAGCGAUGGGUGAGUGAGCAUUUCCGUCUAAGCUCCGCCUCCUGUCAGAUCAGCAGCAUCAUUAGAUUCUCAUGGUGCGAACCCUAAUGUGAACUGCAUGUGCGAGGGAUCUAGGUUGUGCGCUCCUUAUGAUAAUCUAAUGCCUGAUGAUGUGAGGUGGAACAGCUUCAUCCUGAGAGCAGCCUCCGUCCCCGUCCAUGGAAAAAUUGUUUUCCACGAAACCAGUCUUUGAUGCCAGAAAGGUUGGAGACUGCUGAUCUAGACCAUGCCUUUACAGUCUAAGUUUGCUUAUCUAGCUUCAAGUUCCAGGACAGUCUGCAAGACCAGGAACAGCAUAGGGGUUGCCACAGUGGAGCUCCUUAUUGCAGUCUACAUUGCCUUAACUAAAGGUGGUGUCAGGAUUGAUUCAAAUACUGUGAACUACUUUCCAUAAUGAGGAGUCUGAGCUCGUGAACUGAGAUUCACAGUUGUGGUACAGUAAUGAUACGUAUACUCUGAUAAGUCACUCUGAGUGUGUUUCCAUUUAGAUAUGUGGAAAGCAUACUAGACAAUCUCCAAUGCCCUUUCAGCUUUAAAAUCUGUAAAUUGGACUAGAUUUGGUAAUUUUUCUUACUUAAAUAAAUAGCAUAGUAAGAUAUUUGAUAGAAACAUUAUUGCAAGUUUUCUUAAGGUCUUUUUUUUUUUUUUAAUUUUGAGACGGAGUCUCUGUCACCAGGCUGGAGUGCAGUGCUACGAUCUUGGCUCACUGCAACCUCCACCUCCCAGGUUCAAGCGAUUCUCCUGCCUCAGCCUCCUGAGUACUUGGGACUACAGGCGGGGAUCACCACGCCCAGAGACCUCUGGAUGUCUGAGCCUAAGCAGGGCCACUAAAUGAGAGGGAAUUCCAUCACUGAAAAGCAACAAUGAAUAUAUUAAGGACCACAGAGAAUGGAAUCUCUCCAUGUUGCCCAAGCAGGUCUCGAAAUCCUAUCCUCCCACCUCUGCCUCCUUAACCCUAAGUGCUGGGAUUACAGGCAUGAGCCACUGUUCGUGGCCUUAGGGACUUUUAAAUGUUAAAUUGAUUUUGACCUACCCAGGAGCUAGAGAAUACCAAUGAUUACAGAGGGGAGAAUGAAAUUGCUGUAUAGAUUUUCUGUGCUCCUUUAGAAAAUCCAUUCUGGAGUAAAGAGAUGGGCAAUUGGUCAACUCAGUUUCUUUCUGGUAUAAUAUGUCAGAGUUUGAUAUUGUCAGUCUGUUAACCAAGAUUUUUAUUGGGAUAUUUGCUGAAAGAGACUGUAAGAAUAUCCCAUCACCAGUAAUUAGAAUUUGUUACAGGUUUCAGUCAGGGCAGUUGAAAGGGAGUUAAUUUGGUAACACAAUAACCUAGUACCCAACUAACUCUGGAGCAUGAAGAAAAAUUGGUUGAUUAAGGCUUAAGUCAGAUAAGUAAUGUUAUAGGUUGACAUGGCUGGGUUAGCUCAGGUUUGUAUAUUUGUUUUUUCAAAGAGGCAGACUUUUCCUAAGAUUAGAAUCCACAGUAAUGAUGGAAGCAGAAAACUUAGGGGCAGGCCGUAGGUGUAAAAUCAAAGUUGAGCUGCUUCUGUGUCACAGCUGUAAGCACAGGAAGUUGCCCAUUUUUUUCAAGCACUAUUUCUGCAUAGUCAUAUAUCAGCUAGUGUUGUCAACAUAGACACGAGAGACAAUGGGAAUACAUACAUGGAAUUCCACCAUCAGCCAAAAAAGCCACAUAAGUCUUUGAAGCUCUCAAAUAACACUCAUGACACCGAAUGGUACAUUUUGAUGCACUUUGAAACUCUUAUCUCUUUAGUUGGUAAGUACAUUUGAACACUUAAUAUGUGCUCAGCAGAAGAGAAGGAGAACAAGGGAAGUCUAACAUAAAAUCAGGAUUUUUUCUUUUCUCCUUGAAGCCAAUUAGAAUGUGUGUAUGUGUGUGUGCGUGUGUGCGUGUGUGUGUGUGUGCGUGCGUGUGUGUAUUAUUUAGUGUAGUAACCCUUGGGUUUUUUUUAAAAAAACAUGUUUUACUAUGAAGUGUAACAUACAAGAAAGUGAUAACAUAUGACAUGUACAGCUUACAAAUGGUUGUAAGAAUUAAUACACUUCGUAACUGCCACCUAUGGUAAAAACAAGUAGGUGGAGAAGGAGGAGAAGAACAGAAGAAUUUAACUAGCAUGUCAGAAGUCUUAUGGAUCUCUUUCCAGUCACAACCCUCUCUCCAAGCUUGAUUCCUAUUCCCUGAGUAAGUUCUAAUCUUACUUUUUUUUUUUUUUUUUUUUGAGACAGAGUCUCAUUCUGUUGCCCAAGCUAGAGUGGUGCAAUCUCGGUUCACUGCAAUCUCUGCCUCCUGGGUUCAAGUGAUUCUCCUGCCUCAGCCUCCCGAGUAGCUGGGAUUACAGGCAUGUGCCACCACGCUGGGCUAAUUUUUGUAUUUUUAGUAGAGACAGGUUUUCGCCAUGUUGGCCAGGCUAGUCUUGAACUCCCGACCUCAGGUGAUCCACCCGCCUCAGCCUCCCGAAGUGCUAGUAUUACAGGCAUGAGCCACCGUGCCCAGCCUAAUCUUACUUUUAAAGUAAUCAUUUAUUGCUUUUCUUUACAGUUUACCACUUGGAUGUGCAUCCAUAUGUACCAAAUACAACCAGAAAGUUUAGUGUUGUGUGUCUGGAAACUUUACAGAAUGAGGUCAUACUUUAUAUAUUCUUUUGUCUUGUUUCUUUCACUUGUUAUCUAUGAUGUUGAAUGUAGAUGCAGUCUGUAUAUUUUCAUUGCUAUGUAGUAUUCCAUUAUAUAAACGACAACUUAUUUAUCCAUUCUACUAUGUUGGACAUCUGGGUUGCUUACAGUUUGCGUUACAGGUAAUGUUGCUGUGAAUAUAGUUAUGCUAUCCCUUAGUGCAUAUAGGCUUGCAUUUCUGUUGGACAUAGUCCUAGUCAGUAAAAAGGAAUAUGACAGAAGUCAAUGAAACCGUCUUUUUCUGAAUGAAAGUGUAGUGAGCCAGUAAUCUAAUGAGGAAAACAGCUGUUCUUUUUGUUAUUCUAAUGGUAGGUGCUGUCUGGAUAUAAAGAUGACUAUUUUCAUCCAGGUAAUUAAAAAGAUUAUUCAGGAUUAUAUCUUUGCUUAAUAUGAAUGUCUACAAGUAUGUUUCACCAAGAAAAUAAAAUACAUUUUAGUUUUAAGCCAUAUCUGGUAUUAUUUCUAGAAUUCUAAAAUUAACAGGAUAAAAAGUCCUUAGAGGGCAAGGAUUCUUUCAUUUUUUAAAUGUACUUCACAGUGACCAUAGCAAUGCUAUUAAGAUGCUGAAUCCCAACCAAAUAUGCAUUCUCUUGAUAAGUAUACUUUGGAGUAAAAUUAUUUGUACAAAUGGAUAUAACUUUUCAGAUGUCCAGAACUUUAAUUUUUCCUUUAUUCUAAAAAGGGGGAAAAGAUGGAUUCCUUUAACUUAAAACUGUUUCUGUUUUGAAAGCCCCUAUCCUGAAAGAUAGAAAAUAAUAGUUUUGAUGAAUCCAUGUAAUAUUCUGUGUUCUUCACAAUUUUUCUUACAACAUUAUUCCUAUACAUGUUCUUAGUAUAGAUAAUAUUAAUGUAUUUCUGAGGCCAUUAAUAAUUAUAAUUUGGGCCUUUUGUUUGCCUUUUGAACCUGGAAGACAAAAUAGAUAGUAUAUUAAGAUGCAAAUGUAUAUUUUCUAAUGGACUUGUGCUUCAAAGCAUGUGUAUUUUAGGGCUUGGCCUGAUUUUGCCAGCUAAGGCCAGAUCAUUGUAAAUUGAUUUCAAUAUCUUUCUGCUUUUAUGAGCUUUGUUCUAAAGCUUCACAGGAAGAAUCAAAAUAAUGUUUGUCACACUAUUCUAGCUUAGCUGAAAUCUUGUUCCUGUUUACACUAAAUGACCAUUGGCCUAAUGCAGUUAACAUGAGUACUUUACAACUCAUCCGAGAACUAUUUCAAGUGUUGAGGAAAAGGCACUUUAAUUGAAAAAUUACUUAUGCAGGAUCAGACUGAGCGAGAAUGCUGUUUUUUGUACAUUCAGCAUAUUACACAUACCAUGAUCCAUUUUGCUCCUUUGUUAUAACAAAUGAAUUCUUUUUUGCAAUGAAAGGAUUCUUAUGGUUUAUCUUCCUUGGGGAUUGUAACUUUCAAAAGGUGUUCUUAAAUAUAUUACUACUUUAUUUAAACUAUUCACUUCCCAGAUGUGCAGUGCUUUGCACAAAGAAUAAUUCACUAAUGCCCUGAACACACAAAAGGAAAAUGCUCUGCUGGGUUUCCCUUUUUAUUUUACUUUCCAGUGGUAGGUUUAUGACUUGAUGCCCAGCUUCUUAAUAAAUUCACCUCUCACAGGACACAGUUCUCUUUAGUAUGUUUUCCAUGCUUAUAGAAAGAAACACUGUAUUAGCAAACACCAGUAGAAAUUUCAUUUUCACCAUGUUGCUUUCUCUGGGUAUAUAUAGAGAAACUCCUUAAAGGGCUUCUCCAGGACAACUAAAAGUUACCUUUUUCAUUGAUCUCUUCUGUGGUUUUAAAAUAUUUUCUUGACAACAUAUUGUUUUUAUUAAUCCGAAUUAAGCAUUUUAGAUUCUUUUAUGAAUUUAAAAGAUAUUAAAACCAAAGAAUUGGAAAAAUAUCUAAGAAAAGUUACUAAUUUCCAUGGUGGGGUACAGAGUUGGUGUGUGUAGGAAGUUAUACAGGCAGAGGAGCAUUGGAAGAAAAGUGGUGUUUAAGGAAGAUUACUGCAAACUGGCAGCAGGCAAGAGUCCAGGACGUUUACCCUUCCACCAAGUUUUCCCAGCCUGCUCUAGCCAUGCUAUUAUUUUACAAGCUCCUAUACAUAUUAUAUAAUAUAUAAGCAAGAAUGGAUGGAUGGGUCAAAAUAAAAUGCUUCUAUCAGCAAGUAUAGAAUAAUUCCCCUGAUAAGACAGCAAUGGUCGAAAUUCACAUGAAAUAAAAAGAUCUUGGGUAUGGUUUCUUCCCUGGACUUAGAAUUUUAAUAUGUUAAUGUACAUCUUGAGGUUCCAAAAAGGGCCUUAUAUUUCAAGGAAUGCUGGUGUUUCAAGCAACAGAGUUUGGGAAACAACAAGUUAAAAGAUAAUCUAAUGCAUUUAGGUAAGAGGUAAGUGAAAGUUAGAAUAUAUACUUGAGCAACAUGUAACCAUAAUGGCUGUGGAGUCCCAGCUUUGAAUAUCUUGAAGAAUAGACAAUUAUCAAUGUUCCUCCCUCUCAAAUGAUCCUUCUCAACACAGGUUGUGCUUGAUGAGGUAGAACAGAAUCUUAGCAGGAUUUUGUCAAAUGCCUUUUCUUCUUCAUCUGUUGAGAUAAUCAUGUUUUUCUCUUUUAGUGUGUUAGCAUGAUGAAUUCCGUUGAUUGAUUUUCUAAUGUUAAACCAAUCCUACAUUUUUCAGAUAAACCCCACUUGGUUAUGAUGUACUAUCCUUUUAUCUCUUUAAUAUAUUGUUGUAUUUGAUACUCUAAAAUUUUGUUUAGAAUUUUUACAUCUAUGUUCAUAAGGGAUACUGGUUUGUAGUUUCCUUUGCUGUAAUAUCUUUGUAUUUUCUGCCCUAUUUUUGGAAAUGUUUGAGUAAAAUUGUUAUUUAUUCAUUAAAUGUUUGGGAGAAUUUACCCU